UCCUUAGUGGUCCAGUGGCUAAGAGUCUGCAUUCCCAAUGCAGGUGACCUGGGUUCAAUCCCUGGUCAAGGAA
Molecule: transfer RNA, 73 nt
Filed under: Bos taurus (domestic cattle)
Lineage: Eukaryota; Metazoa; Chordata; Mammalia; Artiodactyla; Bovidae
Rfam family: tRNA
About the family: Transfer RNA (tRNA) molecules are approximately 80 nucleotides in length. Their secondary structure includes four short double-helical elements and three loops (D, anti-codon, and T loops). Further hydrogen bonds mediate the characteristic L-shaped molecular structure. tRNAs have two regions of fundamental functional importance: the anti-codon, which is responsible for specific mRNA codon recognition, and the 3' end, to which the tRNAs corresponding amino acid is attached (by aminoacyl-tRNA synthetases). tRNAs cope with the degeneracy of the genetic code in two manners: having more than one tRNA (with a specific anti-codon) for a particular amino acid; and 'wobble' base-pairing, i.e. permitting non-standard base-pairing at the 3rd anti-codon position.
Source: Rfam by way of RNAcentral